UCCGGUUGAUCCUGCCGGACCUGACUGCUAUCGGAUUGAUACUAAGCCAUGCGAGUCAUUGUAGCAAUACAAGGCAUACGGCUCAGUAACGCGUAGUCAACCUAACCUAUGGACGGGAAUAACCUCGGGAAACUGAGAAUAAUGCCCGAUAGAACAUUAUGCCUGGAAUGGUUUAUGUUCCAAAUGAUUUAUCGCCGUAGGAUGGGACUGCGGCCUAUCAGUUUGUUGGUGAGGUAAUGGCCCACCAAGACUAUUACAGGUACGGGCUCUGAGAGGAGUAGCCCGGAGAUGGGUACUGAGACACGGACCCAGGCCCUAUGGGGCGCAGCAGGCGAGAAAACUUUGCAAUGUGCGAAAGCACGACAAGGUUAAUCCGAGUGGUUUCUGCUAAAGAAACCUUUUGUCAGUCCUAGAAACACUGAUGAAUAAGGGGUGGGCAAGUUCUGGUGUCAGCCGCCGCGGUAAAACCAGCACCUCAAGUGGUCAGGAUGAUUAUUGGGCCUAAAGCAUCCGUAGCCGGCUCUGUAAGUUUUCGGUUAAAUCUGUACGCUCAACGUACAGGCUGCCGGGAAUACUGCAGAGCUAGGGAGUGGGAGAGGUAGACGGUACUCGGUAGGAAGGGGUAAAAUCCUUUGAUCUAUUGAUGACCACCUGUGGCGAAGGCGGUCUACCAGAACACGUCCGACGGUGAGGGAUGAAAGCUGGGGGAGCAAACCGGAUUAGAUACCCGGGUAGUCCCAGCUGUAAACUAUGCAAACUCAGUGAUGCAUUGGCUUGUGGCCAAUGCAGUGCUGCAGGGAAGCCGUUAAGUUUGCCGCCUGGGAAGUACGUACGCAAGUAUGAAACUUAAAGGAAUUGGCGGGGGAGCACCACAAGGGGUGAAGCCUGCGGUUCAAUUGGAGUCAACGCCAGAAAUCUUACCCGGAGAGACAGCAGAAUGAAGGUCAAGCUGAAGACUUUACCAGACAAGCUGAGAGGUGGUGCAUGGCCGUCGCCAGCUCGUGCCGUGAGAUGUCCUGUUAAGUCAGGUAACGAGCGAGAUCCCUGCCUCUAGUUGCCACCAUUACUCUCAGGAGUAGUGGGGCGAAUUAGCGGGACCGCCGCAGUUAAUGCGG
This 1115-nucleotide ribosomal RNA is filed under the name marine metagenome. RNAcentral describes it as "bacterial SSU rRNA". It matches the Rfam family "Archaeal small subunit ribosomal RNA", at positions 1 to 1122 of the family's 1478-position model. The record is from RNAcentral.